CAUGUACUCCCUCCGUUCCGAAUUACUUGUCUUGGAUUUGUCUAGAUACGGAUGUAUCUAGACUCAUUUUAGUGCUAGAUACCUCCGUAUCUAGACAAAUCUAAGACAAGUAAUUCGGAACGGAGGGAGUAAUAG
Molecule: non-coding RNA, 135 nt
Organism: Triticum aestivum (bread wheat)
Lineage: Eukaryota; Viridiplantae; Streptophyta; Magnoliopsida; Poales; Poaceae
Source: Rfam